UUUAAUUGAAGAGUUUGAUCAUGGCUCAGAUUGAACGCUGGCGGCAGGCCUAACACAUGCAAGUCGAACGGUAACAGGGAGCAGCUUGCUGCUCUGCUGACGA
This 103-nucleotide ribosomal RNA is filed under the name Cronobacter sakazakii. Its description in RNAcentral is "partial 16S ribosomal RNA". It matches the Rfam family "Bacterial small subunit ribosomal RNA", at positions 1 to 101 of the family's 1533-position model. Lineage: Bacteria; Pseudomonadati; Pseudomonadota; Gammaproteobacteria; Enterobacterales; Enterobacteriaceae. The record is from RNAcentral.